RNAcentral lists this ribosomal RNA (460 nucleotides) under uncultured bacterium. RNAcentral describes it as "partial 16S ribosomal RNA". It matches the Rfam family "Bacterial small subunit ribosomal RNA", at positions 338 to 795 of the family's 1533-position model. The record is from RNAcentral.
CCUACGGGAGGCAGCAGUGAGGAAUAUUGGUCAAUGGGCGAGAGCCUGAACCAGCCAAGUCGCGUGAAGGAUGAAGGAUUUAUGGUUUGUAAACUUCUUUUAUAUGGGAAUAAAGUGAGGAACGUGUUCCUUUUUGUAUGUACCAUAUGAAUAAGCAUCGGCUAACUCCGUGCCAGCGGCCGCGGUAAUACGGAGGAUGCGAGCGUUAUCCGGAUUUAUUGGGUUUAAAGGGUGCGUAGGUGGUUAAUUAAGUCAGCGGUGAAAGUUUGUGGCUCAACCAUAAGAUUGCCGUUGAAACUGGGUGACUUGAGUAUAUGUGAGGUAGGCGGAAUGCGUGGUGUAGCGGUGAAAUGCAUAGAUAUCACGCAGAACUCCGAUUGCGAAGGCAGCUUACUAAACUAUAACUGACACUGAAGCACGAAAGCGUGGGGAUCAAACAGGAUUAGAUACCCUAGUAGUC